GGGUUGUGAGGUUAAGCGACUAAGCGUACACGGUGGAUGCCCUGGCAGUCAGAGGCGAUGAAGGACGUGCUAAUCUGCGAAAAGCGUCGGUAAGGUGAUAUGAACCGUUACAGCCGGCGAUGUCCGAAUGGGGAAACCCAGUGCAAUUCGUUGCACUAUCGUUAACUGAAUACAUAGGUUAACGAGGCGAACCGGGGGAACUGAAACAUCUAAGUACCCCGAGGAAAAGAAAUCAACCGAGAUUCCCCCAGUAGCGGCGAGCGAACGGGGAGCAGCCCAGAGUCUGAAUCAGCUUGUGUGUUAGUGGAACGGUCUGGAAAGUCCGACGGUACAGGGUGAUAGUCCCGUACACCAAAAUGCACAGGCUGUGAACUCGAAGAGUAGGGCGGGACACGUGGUAUCCUGUCUGAAUAUGGGGGGACCAUCCUCCAAGGCUAAAUACUCCUGACUGACCGAUAGUGAACCAGUACCGUGAGGGAAAGGCGAAAAGAACCCCGGCGAGGGGAGUGAAAAAGAACCUGAAACCGUGUACGUACAAGCAGUGGGAGCACCUUCGGGUGUGACUGCGUACCUUUUGUAUAAUGGGUCAGCGACUUAUAUUCUGUAGCAAGGUUAACCGUAUAGGGGAGCCGCAGGGAAACCGAGUCUUAACUGGGCGUUAAGUUGCAGGGUAUAGACCCGAAACCCGGUGAUCUAGCCAUGGGCAGGUUGAAGGUUGGGUAACACUAACUGGAGGACCGAACCGACUAAUGUUGAAAAAUUAGCGGAUGACUUGUGGCUGGGGGUGAAAGGCCAAUCAAACCGGGAGAUAGCUGGUUCUCCCCGAAAGCUAUUUAGGUAGCGCCUCGUGAAUUCAUCUUCGGGGGUAGAGCACUGUUUCGGCUAGGGGGUCAUCCCGACUUACCAACCCGAUGCAAACUACGAAUACCGAAGAAUGUUAUCACGGGAGACACACGGCGGGUGCUAACGUCCGUCGUGAAGAGGGAAACAACCCAGACCGCCAGCUAAGGUCCCAAAGUCAUGGUUAAGUGGGAAACGAUGUGGGAAGGCACAGACAGCCAGGAUGUUGGCUUAGAAGCAGCCAUCAUUUAAAGAAAGCGUAAUAGCUCACUGGUCGAGUCGGCCUGCGCGGAAGAUGUAACGGGGCUAAACCAUGCACCGAAGCUGCGGCAGCGACACUAUGUGUUGUUGGGUAGGGGAGCGUUCUGUAAGCCUGCGAAGGUGUGCUGUGAGGCAUGCUGGAGGUAUCAGAAGUGCGAAUGCUGACAUAAGUAACGAUAAAGCGGGUGAAAAGCCCGCUCGCCGGAAGACCAAGGGUUCCUGUCCAACGUUAAUCGGGGCAGGGUGAGUCGACCCCUAAGGCGAGGCCGAAAGGCGUAGUCGAUGGGAAACAGGUUAAUAUUCCUGUACUUGGUGUUACUGCGAAGGGGGGACGGAGAAGGCUAUGUUAGCCGGGCGACGGUUGUCCCGGUUUAAGCAUGUAGGCUGGUUAUCCAGGCAAAUCCGGAUAAUCAAGGCUGAGGUGUGAUGACGAGGCACUACGGUGCUGAAGUAACAAAUGCCCUGCUUCCAGGAAAAGCCUCUAAGCAUCAGGUAACAUCAAAUCGUACCCCAAACCGACACAGGUGGUCAGGUAGAGAAUACCAAGGCGCUUGAGAGAACUCGGGUGAAGGAACUAGGCAAAAUGGUGCCGUAACUUCGGGAGAAGGCACGCUGGUGUGUAGGUGAAGCCCCUGCGGGUGGAGCUGAGACCAGUCGAAGAUACCAGCUGGCUGCAACUGUUUAUUAAAAACACAGCACUGUGCAAACACGAAAGUGGACGUAUACGGUGUGACGCCUGCCCGGUGCCGGAAGGUUAAUUGAUGGGGUUAUCCGUAAGGAGAAGCUCUUGAUCGAAGCCCCGGUAAACGGCGGCCGUAACUAUAACGGUCCUAAGGUAGCGAAAUUCCUUGUCGGGUAAGUUCCGACCUGCACGAAUGGCGUAAUGAUGGCCAGGCU
Molecule: ribosomal RNA, 1998 nt
Filed under: Klebsiella pneumoniae
Lineage: Bacteria; Pseudomonadati; Pseudomonadota; Gammaproteobacteria; Enterobacterales; Enterobacteriaceae
Description: partial 23S ribosomal RNA
Rfam family: Bacterial large subunit ribosomal RNA
Source: RNAcentral